Molecule: long non-coding RNA, 9900 nt
Organism: Gorilla gorilla gorilla (western lowland gorilla)
Lineage: Eukaryota; Metazoa; Chordata; Mammalia; Primates; Hominidae
Exons: 5
Source: RefSeq, a predicted model, not a curated record
GAAGGAAAGCUGAAAGAAUACAUCUGGCCGAGACGGGUGGAUCACUUGAGCUCAGGAGUUCAAUAUCAGCCUGGCCAAUAUGGUGAAACCCGGUCUCUACUAAAAACACAAAAAUUAGCCAGGCGUCGUGGCGGGUGCCUAUAAUUCCAGCUACUCGGGAGGCUGAGGCAGAAGAAUAGCUUGAACCCUGGAGACGGAGGUUUCAGUGAGCCAAGAUCACGCCACUGCACUCUAGCCUGGGUGACAGAGCAACACUCUGCCUCAAAAAAAAAAAAAAAAAAAAAAUACAUCUGGUCACACAAAUUCAAGCUAUUCCUUUCCUGGUUCCAAGGAGUAUGUAAGAAUGGCUUGAGUUUAAAUCGACAGUUUGGAAAGAAUUUUGAAAAUUCUGAAACAAAAUUAUUAUUAAAAUUCUGCAAAAUCGUCCUUUAAAAAAACUAGAAUUUUUUUUCUUUUUUUCGCUCUGGUAUUAGUCAAUUAUGUAGGUUACGUUGUUUCCUGAUAUAAAGGCCCAUAUAAAGUUAUAAAAUCAGCACACAAACUAAUAUUAGUCACUAUCCUAUUUCAAAGAACUAAAUUUAAAACAAUCCAAUAACAUCACCUUAUCUCCUAUCUAAUAAUUCAUAAAUGUUGUGUUUGGUAAGCUACAGCACACAUUUUUCUAGUGCUAUUAUUACUUAAUUGCUUUGCUCUUGCUUCUUUAUGCUACUGUCUAUCACUGAUUACGGUUGUGUCAUAAAAAAGACGACAAGCUCCAACAGAAUUACAAGGGAGCAUUCAAAUGCUUUUUUAUUAUAGUGGAAUUUUGUUUCAGGAAACACAUGUUGCUACAUUUUAACCAUUCCAAACUUCUGCUCCUAGUCCAAUCCUUUUCCACAAGCUGGGGGAGCGGGAGCAUGCUGGACAAGGGAAAUUUAGCUAGAGCUAAACUCUCCUCCUGAUUAAGGAUUUUGCCUCUUAGAAAAUUGAAUGACAUAGGUGGAGAUAAGAUUGUCAGCAUAGCGAUCAAUUACCACGAGCCAAUCAGUCACUGUGAUGCUCAAGAAGCUAGAUCACAUAUCCACAAUUUUUUUAAAGAAGGGAAACUGAUAUUCAAUCUUACCGUUCUUUUCUCUCUGAAUGCUCUCAUUUUAUUAGCUUCAGUUAACAAAUUAUGAUUCCCAAAUAUCCACCUUCAAUCCCAAAGGUCCUGUAUUUUUAAUUUCCUCUACAAUGUUUCCAAUUAUAAAUCAUCAUUCCAAAUUCAACAACAAAUUCCAAUUUUACUCAGUUUCUUAAAACUCCCUCCCUUAUUGUCCCAAUCACUCAGGCUUACAAUCUUGAAAUAUUCAUUGAUGCCUAUUUACAAUCCACUGGAAUCAACUGCCAAGUCCUAGCUAUACCUCCUUCAAUCUCUCAAAUCAGCAAAAACAUUUUGACUGUGCAGAGAACUAUGUGUGGUAGGCAGGCCAAGGCCUGCAGGAGAUAAGAAAAUAAGCAUAACACACUGUAUUCCUUUCUUUAAGAACUUAAACUCAAAAAAAAAAAAAGAAAGCCAACCAAUUAUUAUAUUUAAAAUAUAUUGUGCCCUUACUGUGUGCCAGGCACUGUGCUGAACCAUUUUCACGCAUUAUCAAAAAACAGAACAAAACAAAACAAAACUGGGCAUGGUGGCUCACUCCUGUAAUCUCAACACUUUAAGAGGUCAGGGCAAGAGGAUUACUUGUGCUGGAAGUUUGAGACCAGCCUGAGGCAACACGGUGAGACCCCAUCUCUACAAAAAAUUUUUAAAAGUAGCCACACAUGGUGGCAUGUGCCUGUAGUCCCAGCUACUCGGGGGACUGAGGCAGGAAGACAGCUUGAACAUAGGAGUUUGAGGAUGCAGUGAGCCAUGAUCUUGCCAUUGAACUCCAGUUUGGGCAACAGAGACCCAGUCUCAAAAACAAACAAAAAAAACCUGUAAGGUAUACACUAUCAUCUCCAAAUUAACAGAUGGGAAGAAAUAAGACCUGCAGAGGUUGAAGUGUAUAAAGUCAUAUAGCUAUUAAGUGAUAGAGCUUGAACUCAACAACAGAUGACUACAAAGCCUUUGCUACCCAUAAAUAAAAUAACACAAAAUAUAACUGCCAGAAGAAACGUAAAAAGAAAGGAAAAAAACAAUCUUUUCCUAACUUAUCUCUUCUGCUCCAACUCCACUGCCAAUACCAGCUUUCACAAUUUCUGCAAAGUUGGCCCUUGAAUGGGCUGCUGAAGAAUCAUCUAGGAAGCCUAUGUAAAUGAAUAUUCAUAGUCCAACCCUUGAGAUUCUGAGUCACUGGGUAUGGGGUGUUUCCGAUGCAUAGUUUUUUUAAAAACCAUACUCCUAAUUCUUGUUCAUUCAUUCAUACAACAAAGAUUUGAAUUCCUACUAUGCACCAAGCCAUGUCAAAGGUUCAUCUUCUACGGAAGAAAGAUCUAGUGUAGUGGCUCUGCCAUACUUACUUGCUACAGUAUCUUGGGUAAGUAGCUUAACCUCUCUUAAGUCUAAAUUUUCUAGCCUAUAAAACAAAGAUAAUACUUUCCAGGUUGUUGUGAAAGUUAAUGAGAUAAUGUAAAGCAUUUAGCACAGGGGCUGACAUACAAUUCUCGAUAAAUGCUAGCUAUUAUUUCCUGAGAAACACAACCUAGAGAGUAAUUUUUUCCUAGAGAUGAAAUUUAAGCAAAGUAACAAGGAAAUAGUCUAGGCAUUCACAUAUCGGCGGGGGGGUGGGGGGGGGAAUCUAAACCAAGUAAAGAUUACACAGAGGGUUUUCUCUAAUUAGGUGAAUCAAAUUCAUAAGGCUGAGAUUUUUUUUCUUGUAAGAUUUCUUUAAACAGAAAUACAGUUAACUUUACUAACAAAAAUGAAGCAACACAUAAAGUUCCGAAAAGGCAGUCAGGAGUCCCCAGAGUGUUAACAGAAAGAACACAGGACUUAAAUACAGAAGAACUCAGGUCCAAAUAGCAGAUCGAACCACCUGCCAGGUAGACGGCAUCAAAAAAGUAAUUUAAAUUAUCUCAUUCUGUUUUUUCACUUAUAAAAUUAGGUUAAAAAAUAGCUGUCACAGAAAGCAUGGCCAGCAGGUCCUCCACAGGACCUUUCCCUUCUGUGCCUAAAAUUCUGAACUGUGUUUUACAAUAAGCCUGAAAGUUCAUUCACCGCAAUAUAGUAUUUGCAAUCCAAAGUCAAUAUUUCAACACAAAAUUGGCAGGCAGGAAAGGAGGGAGAGUCUUUCGCUAAGUCUAAGUAAGAGUCUGACUUCUCACUAGGAGCAUGUCUGUUGUACUUACUUCAAACAGCAUGCAAAGCAUGACUCAUCAAGGAAUAAGAAUUUCAAUGAGUGCUUUUUGGUUAAGAAGAUAUUGUGAAUAUUUCUGCCUUUGGAGAUGGCUAAAGAAAUAGCAUUAUUAAGCCAGUGCAGUGGCUCACGUCUGUAAUCCCAGCACUCUGGGAGGAUGAGGUGGGUGGAUCACCUGAGGUCAGGAGUUCAACAGCCUGGCCAACAUGGUGAAACUCUGUCUCUACUAAAAAUACAAAAUUUAGCUGGGCGUGGUAGUGGGCGCCUAUAAUCCCAGCUACUUGGGAGGCUGAGGCAGAAAAUCACCUGAACCCAGGAGGCAGAAAGAGGUUGCAGUGAGCCAAGAUCAUGCCACUGCACUCCAGCCUGGGCGAUGAGAGCAAAACUCCAUCUCAAAAAAAAAAAAAGAAACAGCAUUAUUAUUAAACAAUACGCACAGAAUUCAUGGAAGAAACAUGAACUUCCCACAUAUACCUUCCUUCAUUUACCCAGCUUUUCCCCACUGCUCUUCAAACAAGAUCAUUCUUAUCUGCACUAAUUGCUGAAUUGUGGCCACAAGAUGAACAUGCUCCUCUUUCACUGACUCCUACAAGAUAUUUAAACUUAUAUUUUAAGAUUGCUAAGAAGUUGAAGUCAGCAAAAUUCCUUAAUCCGCUCCAGAUAUGAAUAUAUCCAAGACUUUGACCAUAGGGCUAUAUUAACCUCUGCUAUCAUAAUCAGUGGAACUAAUUUACCAAUAUUUUAUUUACCAGGGGGAAAAAAAGACAUAAAAGGGAAAAGGAAAUUCACAAUGCAGCUCUGUAACCAAGCUACGAUAUAACAAGGAGUUAAUAAGGAGCGCCCUCGUUUGGCUUGAAUGAUGGAGAAACUUGAGUAAAAACAUGCAUUUAAAAAAAACAUUUAAGGCUGGGCGCGGUGGCUCACACCUGUAAUCCCAGCACUUUGUGAGGCUGAGGCGGGUGGAUCACGAGGUCAGGAGAUGGAGACCAUCCUGGUCAACAUGGUGAAACCCCACCUCUACUAAAAAUACAAAAAUUAACUGGGUGUGGUGGCAUGUGCCUGUAGUCCCAGCUACUCAGGAGGCUGAGGCAGGAGAAUAGCUUGAACCUGGGAGGUGGAGGUUGCAGUGAGCCGAGAUCGCGCCACUGCACUCCAGCCUGGCGACAGGGCAAGACUCCAUCUCAAAAAAAAAAAAAAACAAAAAAAAGCAAAAAACACAUUUAAAAAACGAUCGCUUCCACCGCCCAGAAAAAAAAAAAAAACAUUAGGAUGAUCGCACAAGUGUUACAAUGUUUUUUUAAAAAAUGUUUGUGAAUGCCUUUUAAAGAAAAUGCUUUUCUCACCACUAAUAGCAGGUUUGAGUUGUUAUUUAGUUUUUAAGCCACCAGUGAGAAUCUAUGUGCCCCAAUUGUAUUUUACAACGCUUUCCAAUACAGACCAAAAAAGUGUGUACAUAAGGGUAUCAAUGUGAAUGAAGUAUUUCUUUUCAAAUUCUUUUCAAAAUAAGUAUUUCUUUUAUGACCUGAAUCUAGGUGAUUCAUAUGUUGAGUUUUGCUGGACGAUCCCUAAAAGUUUUGGGAUUAAGUUUCAAGUUUCCUAACUCUUAACAGCUUUCCUAUCUAAGACGAUCAAAUUUUACAGAUAGCCACUUUUUUUCAGCCACCUUUCCCCUAAUUUAUAUAAUGAAUGAAAUGAGCAACCUGAUUCAGGUUAUAACUUUUUACUUAAACUAAGUGAGUAAUUGUAAUUUAGAGACCUAAGAGCUGAACGCAUUCUCUAAAGCAUAAAAAAAAAUUAGACAAAUUAUAGGUGCACAAUUUGCAUUCGGGGACCACAGAGUUUUGAAAUGUAAAAGCUCCCUGUUAAGGCCAUACUUAGAGAUGUUUAUCUCAGGGUCCUCAACCUCAAGGACUUAUCCUCUAUGUGCAAAUAAAGCUGAAGGUGUAACUUCCCAGGAGGCACCACUGGAAACUUGUAAGACCAAAAAGCCUUUUGAGAACCAAAAUAACUGCAACUCUAAAGGGGGAAUUUCAGAUUGUGACAAAUGGUAAAAGAGAGUGAGGUGGCAAGGGGACUCCUAAUCAGUUCCAUUCAAAUCAUCAAUGUGCAGUUAAUAACCUCUCCUUAUUGGAGAAACCAAUGUAAUAACUUAAAAAUAUACUAUUGUGAUAAUCGUAAUUUUAAAACAGAAAUAGCCUAGGUUAAAUUGAACCCCUCUCCCCGACCCUACUGGUCAUUCAGCAUGUUUUAAAUUCAAGGUUGCCCUUUAGGAAAGGAGGUCACUUAAGGACAGUUUACCUCAAUGAGACAUCUUGUAUACUAAUUCGAAACUAUUUCAAAAGGGGGAAAAUGGAGAUCAGAAAAGUAACACACUACUUGAGAUGUUACCAUAUUAUUUCUCAGGGCCACAAUUAUUUACACUAUUUUUUUUGAAAACUCAGUAAUUUCUAAAGCAUUAAUUAUGUAGCAAUAUUCGUCACCUUAACGAAACACAUUUGAAAAGUCCUAUCCUACUGACUCAGGCCAAAUCUAAUUUUAAAACUGAACCUAGACAUAAAAAUACUCACCAAUUACACUAAGAAGGGAGAAAUAAAAAAAAUUACUGGUUCAGAGAAAUGAGACUGAAUUAAGGAAAAACUUUUAAAUAAAGUGUUCAUCAAAAAAAUACAUAGAAGUUCCAACGCUAGCGUUUUCCUAGGGAGAAUAUUAAGAAGUUAGUGGUUUCUCUCUACCUAACUGGGAUUUUAGAAACUGCCACACUAGCUAGUUAUGAGAAUGAAGAUUAAAGAAAUUUCACAUAAAGAGUGAAGGACACACAAUCUUUUAAGUAACAAUAAUGAAAUCAAUAAUUAUAAUUAAUAAUAAAAAAAAACAAGCCUGACAGUCCACCCCUCACUGACUUCCCCCUCAAAAAAAAAAAAAAACUGGGCGUGUUCUGGGAAUUGGAGAGAUGUAAUCAGCACAGAAAAAAAAAACACUUUCCUAUAUGUCAUCGUGAAGCAGUGAUUCUACAUAAAAAUAAGGGUAGUCUAUUCUCUAUGCAGUUAUGAGUGUGGUACAACUCUCUAAAACGUCUAUUAAUACAAAAUGAACGACCACACUUUAAAGCCAUUCUACAUUUUCGCAAACUACCCUACACAUCUACGAGUAACUAUUUGCAACUUAAACACAUUCCUAUAUACCUCUAUACCUUCCUGCUUCCUUCAAGAUACCAUCACAGAAUGAACAAAUACAACUUAAAUUAGUUCAUUUUCCAGGGUGCUUCCUUUCCCCCACUCCAUGAAACAUAAGUACAUUUUUUUAAGUCAUAUAAAUGGACACCAAGCACCGGUAAUUCAGUCUCUUUAAAACCUGCUUAAUUUUAAAAGUUCUAGUAAGAUGUGCUCAGGUUGGAAACUAAAAACUACCUUAUAAGGGUAUAAAAGACUGAAAGCAGGAAGCGGCUUUGACAAAACUAAGGAAGUUGCAGCGCGCUUGCUCACUGGGGGACUUUUUUGAGGCUACAGAAGUAACACAUGACAUCUUUCUCCCUCGAAUUAAAAUGUGACUUGGUUCACCGGUUAAAACGCAGAGGGAGAUGGAAAUGACCAGGAGUCGAAAGGAGAAGAUUAGAGUGCAGUGGUGCAGUCAUGGCUCACUGCAGCGUCUGCCUCGUGGACUCAAAGAAUCCUCCUACCUCAGCCUCCCAAGUAGCUAAGGACCACAGAGUUGUGCUCUCCUGCAGCGUUUUGCGGAUGGCUGGCUAUCGUACCCAGAAUCAAUCACACUGGGACACUGAAAAAAAAAAAGGAAAAAAGAGCGAGGGAGUAAUUCUAGCCUAUUUUUACAAGAACACAGUGGCUAUAGACAGUGCCGGUGUCAAGAUGAUUCAGCAAAAGUGGAGAACCAAAGAUUCUAGGGCAGCACCAAAACUGGGAAAGCAAUUACAGCAAACGUUGCCUUCCCCAUGGUAGCUUAGCAACUUCGUGUCUCUCCAAGGCAAAGAGGAAAAUCAAGUCUAACAGGCCUUCCCGAAGGCUAGGUGUGAAAUACCAGAAGCCAUCUUUGUUUCUGGCGAUGUCACUAAAUAAGUAUUUGUUGAUAUAAAGUAUUACACAUCUGUUCUCCCACAUUUCAGCUAAAUUGCCAAAAGUUAACCCUUUCUGGGGAUGCAGAAUGGAACAAUAUACCUAGCUCUCAUUCAUUAUUUCGCUUGCUGAUAUUCUUGCAUAGCUUUUAGUUUAUGCAUUUGUCCCAAAUAAACCUAGAAAAAGCCACUUUUCAUAGGACAAGAUGAGCUGAUGAUUUGAAUCACUCCCCCACUGAGGAAGAAACCAUCUGUGGAAAAGACUGUAUAAGGUACUUCCUGGUUGAACGGUAGGGCUCUGGAGUCAGAAGUCUUGAAUUUGAAUCCCAGCCCUGAAAUGUAUCAGCUGUGUGCCCUUAGGUAAGUAACUGAACUUCUCUGGCUUCAGAUCCCUCUGUGUGUGUGUGUGUGUGUGUGUGUGUGUGUGUGUGUGUGUGUGUGUGUGUGUGUGUGUGUUUUGUUGUUGUUGUUGUUAUUGAGACACAGUCUCACUUUGUUGCCCAGGCUGCAAUGCAGUGGCGCUAUCUCAGCUCACUGCAACCUCUACCCCCCGGGUUCAAGCAAUUCUCAUGCCUCAGCCUCCCAAGUAGCUGGGACUACAGGCACCCACCACCAUGCCUGGCUAAUUUUUUGUAUUUUUAGUAGAGACGGGGUUUCACCAUGUUGGCCAGGCUGGUCUUGAACUCCUGACCUCAGGUGAUCCGCCUGCCUUGCCCUCCCAAAGUGCUGGGAUUACAGGUGUGAGCCACCGCAAUUGGCCCUCUCUGUUAAUUGUAGGUGCUGAAAGGAACCCAGUGAACUAGUGAUAAUACUUAUAAUGUACCUAGUGCCAGGUCUGAUGCUUAAUUCAUAUUCAGAAAGUAGAAGCAAUUUUCAUGUGAUAGGUCAUUAAUGCCAAUUUUAUGUAUCUGAAAAUGAGGAUGUGGGGGGUUCCAGGAAGUUAUUUAAAUGCUUUUGGUGCACAGUUCCUUUACCCUGCCUAGGGUUACCUACAACAUACCUUUGGGGAACUUGGCCUGCUUCUUUGCUAGGCUGGGGUCCCAUUCUCUUGGAUCCUUUGCUAAUCUGCCGAUCAAUCUUGUAAACUAUUUAUUGCAGAGAUGUUAAUGACUUUAUUUGACUUUUCUACUUAGAGACAGAUAGAUUAAGAAGUGUUUCAGGCUGUGGCCAGCUGGGACCAUUCAGCAGCCUUCAGGUAAUGCCUCUUUUAGCACAGGUCAGCCUGGAAGCCUGGGCUGUGGCCCCUGUGUGAAUUGGCCUCUUGCACUAGAGGAUGGUUGGGUGGGUGGUUGAGGCUGCCCUUCUCAUACUCCAGGGUCUUUGUUCAUAUUUAUGACACCUACAUUUCUGCUUCCCUUUCUUACUUCUCCCUUCCCAGAUCAGAGUGGAAUAGAGCUCAUUAAAGCUUUAUAGGGGUAGUGCCAAUAGAGAACUUUAGGUCUGGGGAAGAAUCAUUAGUAAAGAUCGACUGUGUGCUCUGGGUGCCUUUAGGCAGCCACUGUUUCCAUUGGUGUUUAAUAUUUAUUGCUUUCUCAUAAUCUUCCAGCUGCUAUCUUGUCACUGUUAGGAAGACUGGGAAAAAUGUCCUAUGGAUAUUUAUUUUCUACCACAUAUUUAGUAUAUCACUUGAAAGUUUGAAUUUUGUGUUUCUUAUAUAAAUUAUGAAUGAUAAAAUAAAAAUCAUCACUAUUGCUUUCAGGCCAGAUAUAUUUUUAUUGCACAACAUGUAUUAUGUACAAGAAUAUCACAAGAUUUGGAAAUGUUAGUCCUAGAAGAGUUUGACACAACGCAAUGAUAAGACAGUAUGAAAAAUGGAGCUAUGAAUAAAAAAGAAUCCAUAAGUCCCCAGAGCCUAUGAGUAUGUUAUGUUGCAUAGUGAUGUAGUUGGGAUGCCUGUCCUCUCCAAAUCUCAUAUUGAAAUGUGAUCCCCAGUGUUGGAGGUGGGGUCUGGUGGAAGAUGUUUGAAUUAUUGGGGCUGAUUCCUUAUGGAUGGUUUGGUACCCACCCCAUGGUAAUGAGUGAGCUCUCAUUCUGGUAGUUUCUGUGAGAGCUGGUUGUUUAAAAGAGCCUGGCACCUCCCCUUCCUCUCUUGCUCCCUCUCUGUCUUGCCAUGUGACACUCCUGCACCCCUUUACCUUCUGCCAUGAUUGGAAGCUUCCUGAGGCCCUCACCAGAAACCAAUGCCUACAUCAUGCUUCCUGUACAACCUGCAGAGCCCAAAUAAACCUCUUUUCUUUAUAAAUUAACCAGUCUCAGGUAUUCCUUUAUAGCAAUGCAAAUGGGCUAACACACGUAGCGAGGAGGAAUUAAGGUUGCACAUGGAAUUAAGGUUCCUAAUGAGCUGACUUUAAGAUAAGGAGAUUAUCCUGGAUUAUCUGCAUGGGCCCAGUGUAAUCACAAGGAUCCUUUUAGCAGAAGAGGGAGCCCAAAGAGUGAGGCAGAAAGAGAUUUGAAGAUGCUACCUGCUGUCUUUGAAGAUGAAGGAAAAGAGCCACAAGCUAAGGAAUGCAGAAAUUGGAAUAGAAAAAGGCAAAAAAC